Molecule: ribosomal RNA, 455 nt
Filed under: Orthopontonia ornata
Lineage: Eukaryota; Metazoa; Arthropoda; Malacostraca; Decapoda; Palaemonidae
Description: partial 16S ribosomal RNA
Rfam family: Bacterial large subunit ribosomal RNA
Source: RNAcentral
AGGGCUGCGGUAAUUUGACCGUGCGAAGGUAGCAUAAUCAGUAGUCUUUUAAUUGGAGGCUGGUAUGAACGGUCGGAUGAGGGAUUAACUGUCUCUUUUUUUUUAUUUAAUUUAACUUUUAAGUGAAAAGGCUUAAAUUUUUUGAAGUGACGAUAAGACCCUAUAAAACUUUAUACUUUUUAUGUAAAUUGGGAAUUAAGUUUAAUCUUUUUUUUCUUAUUUUGUAUUUUGUUGGGGAAACUGAGAUAUAGAAUUAAUUGUCUUUUGUAUAUAAUAAAAAUAAUUAGUUUUUGAUCCAUUUUUAUUGAUUAUAAGAUUAAGUUACUUUAGGGAUAACAGCGUGAUUUUCUUUGAGAGUUCUUAUCGACAAGAAUAGUUGCGACCUCGAUGUUGAAUUAAAAUUUCUAGGUGGUGUAGGUGCUUCUUUAGUAGGUCUGUUCGACCUUUAAAAUUUU